This is a long non-coding RNA of Prinia subflava (tawny-flanked prinia), 2673 nucleotides long. RefSeq lists it as uncharacterized. The transcript is spliced from 11 exons. Lineage: Eukaryota; Metazoa; Chordata; Aves; Passeriformes; Cisticolidae. The record is from RefSeq and is a predicted model, not a curated record.
CCUGGAUAGAAAUGCUUCACGUGGUGGGCUCUGUGUUCCACUGCAAAGGCAGCUGUGGCUCUGUGUGAAGGUGUCGAGAGGGAGGCUGGAGAAGGAGCAAGCUGAUGACAAAAGGGACCUGACAGGGAAAGGAAGACAAGAAAAAGGACUAUCCUGACCCAUGUUCUCAGUGACCAGUGUAAAACCCUCCACUUUAAAUUUCCUCACACAGAGAUGAAGCUUGGAGUGUUUUGCAAAGGGUUCUGCUCGAUUCCCUCUGCACACAAUCUCCCCUCCACCAGGAGGUCCAGGGGUUGCUCACACGUUACCAGCACGAGCUCCUGCUGGCCCCUCUUGAGGGAGGAGGAUUGAAAACUUCUUGUGAGGCAGCUUUUGAUCGGUGAAGAAGAUGUGGAAAAUAGAGCAUACAUGGAAAUCUGUGAAUCCUGAGAAUGCUGGCAUCUGCAUAAAGGAUCAAUUUUUGGGAGGGCCUGUUGCAUCAUUUCCACUGCAAUGGCUGUAUGAGAAAUGCAUCUGCUUCUACAACUGAGCUUUAAAGAGGUUUCUCUCUGUAUCUACUAUUUCUUGUCCAAUGUUUUCAUAAAAAAGGAAAGAAAAAAAAGUAGAAAUUAGCCAUAGACUGCAGAUGACAGGGACUGUUGCUUGAGGUUGGUAUGAAGGUGUUUGUUCUCUGAUUGCCUAUGCUGCACUUGCUCCAUGGACUGGGCUGGUUUGCUUGGAGUGAUGAGGGAAACCUCAAAUGGUUUGGAAGUGAGCUUAAAGAUCAUCUCAUUCCAAACUUUCAGAGGAAACAUGUUGUGUAUUUCUUGAAGGUUCCUUAGUUUGACUGAAUAUCCAAAAAUUUGAGACUUCUACAGUAUCUAAUCACCCUGUGAAAGUCCAGGCCAGGAUUUCAGACUUUGAGGAUAGCAAGCAAACUCCUUAAAUUAGGGGUUUCAAUUAGAGAAUAUUAAAUUCUCUUCUGUAAGAGGAGAUGUUUUAGGAGAAAUGGGAAUAGCCAGGUGGGAGUAAUUGGUUUUGGAAGAGUCAAAUGUGGGAGCUCUGCCCAGCACUUUCUUUUAUUAUGGCUGUUUUCCUUCCACAGCUCAGGAAAACUCAUAUUCAUGCACAGCCUUACACUUCACUGGGAUUCCCUGACUUGGAGACUGUCAGCACUGCCUUAUUACACAAGCUCUUUGUUUUAUUCUGCACAAUACAUCUCGCCAUACACAAUUUGGCCUCUUAACCUGCCGUGAAAUAUUUCAAGGGCUCGUUGCUGGAGGACGCCGCCUCUCCUGGCCGCGAUUUGCGCAUUUCCCCGACAGCCUGUGCCGAUCCGUGGCGGGUUGCAGCACAAUGAACCCGUGCUGCAGAGCAGCACACUGAAAAAGAUCUUUCAAAUUAUUGUUCCGGUGCAGAAGGUGCCCAAUCACCUUCCACCUGCGGAUUAGGCGUUGCUAUAGGAACGCGCUGCGGCCUUUCAGCGCCGCGCCACCGCAGCGCCCGGAUUACCCCUCUGACAAACACAAUGGGGGCACAGAACCACGGGUUAUUAGUGCUGCUGAUGAUGGGGUGGUGCAAACCUGGGGUGCCACGGAGAGGAGGAAUAGAGCAGGAGCCUCAGAAAGCAGAGGACGGGAGGAGGAGAGGGAGCAGAGUGAGGUGGAGCUGAAGUCGUCGCUGUGGAAAUGUUGUCUUUGAUCUCAUUUUCCCCUCUGAAUGGAUAUUUUCAUAAUACGAUGCCAAAUGCAAGCAAUGCUGUAACUGGUGGCAGAGCCACUGGUCGUGUCUUUAUCUUAGCAGGGGGCUGCUCCUCCUCUCUUCCUUUUUCUCCCAGUGAGUACAGAAAUCUGAACCUUUUCAUUCCUGGAGGAUUAACUCCGAGCAAGGUCAGAGCAACCAGUCACCAAUAUUCUUCAUGGGGGCCUCCCCGACCUUGCAAUUGGACCCCUGUGACCCUCUAAGCAGAGAAAUGGCCUUGCUCAACCCCUUGUUUGCAAAAUGGACUGAAAUACAGGGUUUGCACCAUACUUACAGAGCCCAAGGACUAUCCAAACACCACAGAGAGCACAAGUCCUCUUCUGCUACAAGGAACCUGUAAAGAACAACAGCAAUUAAGGAGGGAGGAACAAAGUUCAGUCGUUGUCGAAACAGAAAUUCCAAGUGGUUUUCUCCUCAGGACUUCUGGAUCUCAGCACUGACUUUCCAGCAGCCAGGGAAAGCCAGAAAUUAGAUGGCGACAUCCACUGCACUCUUCAGACACCUCGCUGCCCUGGUGCAGAGCUAUCUAACAUCAGGGUGUGGGUGAGGAACCCUUGGAAAUGAGCCCUGGGAAACCUCAAACAUGAAUCCUGCUCCUCUCUGCAGAUGGAGACCCUCGUCCGUGGUCCCAGGGACACCUCCCCGAGGUGACAGCAGCAGCCUCAGCUCUCUGGCAGGCACCUGAGCUGUUUUCAGAGCUGGGCAUCACAGCCCCCACCACCCUAAAGUACUCUGGUGUUUCCUGGGAGAUACCACUGAGAGAUGAUGCUACAGAAAUCCAGCCAAGACUUCAUUUACACAAGUAAAAAUGAAAAGUGACAUCAGCAUCUAUUUGAGCUGUGCCACCUUGACACCAAUUAAAUGCACAGCUGUGCAUCUGUUCAUGCACAGGGCUCGAUUGCUGGUGUGCUGGAGCUCAGGCCAAGGCUGUUC